RNAcentral lists this ribosomal RNA (116 nucleotides) under Pteropus alecto (black flying fox). Lineage: Eukaryota; Metazoa; Chordata; Mammalia; Chiroptera; Pteropodidae. The record is from RNAcentral.
GUCUACGGCCAUGCCACCCUGAACAAGCCUGAUGUCUGAUCUCGGAAGCUAAGCAGGGUCAGGCCUGAUUAGUACUUGAAUGGGAGACCACCUAGGAAGACCAGGUGCUGUAGGCA